Molecule: ribosomal RNA, 425 nt
Filed under: uncultured bacterium
Lineage: Bacteria
Description: partial 16S ribosomal RNA
Rfam family: Bacterial small subunit ribosomal RNA
Source: RNAcentral
GUGGGGAAUCUUGCGCAAUGGGCGAAAGCCUGACGCAGCCAUGCGGCGUGAAUGAUGAAGGUCUUAGGAUUGUAAAAUUCUUUCACCGGGGACGAUAAUGACGGUACCCGGAGAAGAAGCUCCGGCUAACUUCGUGCCAGCAGCCGCGGUAAUACGAAGGGGGCUAGCGUUGCUCGGAAGUACUGGGCGUAAAGGGCGCGUAGGCGGACAGCUUAGUCAGAGGUGAAAGCCCAGGGCUCAACCUUGGAAUUGCUGUUGAUACUGGCUUUCUUGAGUUUGGGAGAGGUGAGUGGAACUCCGAGUGUAGAGGUGAAGUUCGUAGAUAUUCGGAAGAACACCAGUGGCGAAGGCGACUCACUGGCCCAAUACUGACGCUGAGGCGCGAAAGCGUGGGGAGCAAACAGGAUUAGAAACCCCUGUAGUCC